UGGGGAAUAUUGCACAAUGGGCGAAAGCCUGAUGCAGCAACGCCGCGUGAGUGAUGAAGGCCUUCGGGCUGUAAAGCUCUGUCUUUUGGGACGAUAAUGACGGUACCAAAGGAGGAAGCCACGGCUAACUACGUGCCAGCAGCCGCGGUAAUACGUAGGUGGCAAGCGUUGUCCGGAUUUACUGGGCGUAAAGGAUGCGUAGGCGGAUUUUUAAGUGAGAUGUGAAAUACCCGGGCUUAACUUGGGUGCUGCAUUUCAAACUGGGAAUCUAGAGUGCGGGAGAGGAGAAUGGAAUUCCUAGUGUAGCGGUGAAAUGCGUAGAGAUUAGGAAGAACACCAGUGGCGAAGGCGAUUCUCUGGACCGUAACUGACGCUGAGGCAUGAAAGCGUGGGUAGCAAACAGGAUUAGAUACCCUGGUAGUCCACGCCGUAAACGAUGAGUACUAGGUGUAGGAGGUAUCGACCCCUUCUGUGCCGCAGUUAACACAAUAAGUACUCCGCCUGGGAAGUACGAUCGCAAGAUUAAAACUCAAAUGAAUUGACGGGGUC
Molecule: ribosomal RNA, 549 nt
Filed under: uncultured bacterium
Lineage: Bacteria
Description: partial 16S ribosomal RNA
Rfam family: Bacterial small subunit ribosomal RNA
Source: RNAcentral